GAAUCGGACGCGUUACAGUGACGUUCUAAAUCAGUGCCCGUUCUGAAACUGUGUUGUUCUAUGCCGUUUUGUUUGGUUUGUUUUAACAUUAGGAUCCAAUUCUAGAUAUUCGUGCUCUGUGCUAGUAAAAAGUCUGGUUAUUUCUAGACAAUUACAGUGAAGUGUUCGAUAUAUUGAGUUUUCUAUUCCUUCCAAUAUAUUAAAGGUUUUAAAACUUCACAUUCCAAAAUCAUGGAGCUCUCUUCUCACUCUCUGGUAGAACAGUGUACGCACUCUUUACCAAUUCAAAGCGACACUUAUCUGUACAGUUGAAGGUCUUCCGAAGAUGGUGAAAUAGUAGUGUAGUGUAUAAUAAGUGAUAAAAUGAGCUUAUAAGUUAAGUGAAUGUCAGGAGA
This is a long non-coding RNA of Nymphalis io (European peacock), 395 nucleotides long. RefSeq lists it as uncharacterized. The record is from RefSeq and is a predicted model, not a curated record. Lineage: Eukaryota; Metazoa; Arthropoda; Insecta; Lepidoptera; Nymphalidae. The transcript has 3 exons.